RNAcentral lists this transfer RNA (76 nucleotides) under Gemmatimonadota bacterium. Its description in RNAcentral is "Gemmatimonadetes bacterium tRNA-Asn". It matches the Rfam family "tRNA". Rfam says of the family: Transfer RNA (tRNA) molecules are approximately 80 nucleotides in length. Their secondary structure includes four short double-helical elements and three loops (D, anti-codon, and T loops). Lineage: Bacteria; Pseudomonadati; Gemmatimonadota. RNAcentral also lists the same sequence under 1 other name. The record is from RNAcentral.
UCCCCGGUAGCUCAAUUGGUAGAGUAGGUGGCUGUUAACCACUUGGUUCCUGGUUCGAGUCCAGGCCGGGGAGCCA